RNAcentral lists this unclassified non-coding RNA (314 nucleotides) under Hevea brasiliensis (rubber tree). Lineage: Eukaryota; Viridiplantae; Streptophyta; Magnoliopsida; Malpighiales; Euphorbiaceae. The record is from RNAcentral.
GUUUCUAAACAGUAAGAUUAAACUUAAAGUGAGUCCAAAUCUCCACUUCUUUCAGCAGUCCUAAACUUCUUACGACGAGACCUGGGAAAAAGAAGCUGACGGAUCUGUUUCUCAGCAGCAAUCUCUGAAUGUGCCCUAACUUUGAAGGGGAAACGAUGUGUCCACACUUCUGUUCCAGAGAGAACUCUGACAUCCAUGCCAAGACUGUCAACUCCAAUCAAAUUUGCUCUCUCAACAUGAAGUCCUUUCUUUCUGCAAAGAGCUUUAAGUGCAUAUUUGCACCUUAUUCCUUGCUGCCGAAACCACUCUAAAAU